AUUGAACGCUGGCGGCAGGCCUAACACAUGCAAGUCGAACGGUAACAGGAAGAAGCUUGCUUCUUUGCUGACGAGUGGCGGACGGGUGAGUAAUGUCUGGGAAACUGCCUGAUGGAGGGGGAUAACUACUGGAAACGGUAGCUAAUACCGCACAACGUCGCAAGACCAAGGAGGGGGACCUUCGGGCCUCUUGCCAUCGGAUGUGCCCAGAUGGGAUUAGCUAGUAGGUGGGGUAACGGCUCACCUAGGCGACGAUCCCUAGCUGGUCUGAGGGGAUGACCAGCCACACUGGAACUGAGACACGGUCCAGACUCCUACGGGAGGCAGCAGUGGGGAAUAUUGCACAAAGGGCGCAAGCCUGAUGCAGCCAUGCCGCGUGUAUGAAGAAGGCCUUCGGGUUGUAAAGUACUUUCAGCGGGGAGGAAGGGAGUAAAGUUAAUACCUUUGCUCAUUGACGUUACCCGCAGAAGAAGCACCGGCUAACUCCGUG
This 490-nucleotide ribosomal RNA is filed under the name uncultured bacterium. Its description in RNAcentral is "partial 16S ribosomal RNA". It matches the Rfam family "Bacterial small subunit ribosomal RNA", at positions 30 to 507 of the family's 1533-position model. The record is from RNAcentral.